Cyprinus carpio carpio is the source of this 984-nucleotide long non-coding RNA. The record is from Ensembl. NCBI's taxonomy places the organism in Eukaryota, Metazoa, Chordata, Actinopteri, Cypriniformes, Cyprinidae.
CAAAUCAGCUAGGACUAAAGGCUGAACAAUAGUACAUCUAAUUAAUGUUCAUGACCCAGGCUGAUAAAGGAGAUCUGGGUUUCUCUCUGCAUUUCCAUUCAUCACUAUAAAUCUGCAUGUACCCAUACUAAAGACAUGCUGGUAGCAUCAGCCGUGGAGUGAGAAUUAAUCCUACUAAUGGUGAGUGCCUUGCCUUUCAGCAAACCAGCUAAGACUAAUGGCUGAACAAUACCACAUCUAAUUAAUAUUCAAGAGCCAGGCUGAUAAGGUUAAUAAAGGAGGUCCAUGUAACCUGGAGAAAGUCAUCUGUUCACAUUCCCAUUCAUCUCUAUAAACCUGCAUGUUUCCAUACCCUGCUAGAUGAACCCAACCUAUUCUUUCUCAUCCUCUGCGACACAAGUUGGAUGUUCCAGCAGAUAAAACAGCAGCUCACUUGUCAAUUUAUGGACUCCAGCCACAAGAGGAACAGGAGCCAAAGCUCAGCACGGUGUGAGAAGGUUGCCCUCAGGCAAGCAUGAGACUGGCCUUGGUAAUUGGCACCAGUGAACGAGAGGGUCCUGGCACGACUCCGAAAACCAGAGGUGAGACUAACCCCUGUGGAUCCCAGUAGUACCCUUGAGAGCUUUUUCCUAGGGGCAUUAUUAACCGCCUCCAUGAGUCUGCAAAAGCUUGGAAUACAGUAAAAUAUGCACUGUGUAGCCAUAGCAUGGCAUUUUAAAUUGUUUAUUGUUAAAGUGGUAAAAAGUGUAGUGAGAAAAUUCAACCUGAUUUAAGUCGUGUGGUUAACUGCAAGGAGUCUCAUAAGUCAUAUCCACAAAUGUGACAGACCACAAGGGACACUUCAUUAUGUCAAUAACCUGGUAGCCCCACCCACACCGCAAACUCAUUGGACUCCUAGUCCUGCCCCUUAUGCAUAGUAAACAUCAAAUGUGGAUGUAAAGAGAUUGUAGAAGUUUAGAAUUCGAUAAAAGGUUACAAAUCCCU